Molecule: ribosomal RNA, 380 nt
Filed under: Lyngbya sp. BTA166
Lineage: Bacteria; Bacillati; Cyanobacteriota; Cyanophyceae; Oscillatoriales; Microcoleaceae
Description: bacterial SSU rRNA
Rfam family: Bacterial small subunit ribosomal RNA
Source: RNAcentral
GGAAGAACACCGGUGGCGAAGGCGGCCCGCUGGACCAUUACUGACGCUGAGGCACGAAAGCGUGGGGAGCAAACAGGAUUAGAUACCCUGGUAGUCCACGCCGUAAACGAUGGAUACUAGGUGUUGGGUGUAUCUACCCGGACAGUGCCGUACCUAACGCGUUAAGUAUCCCGCCUGGGGGAGUACGCACGCAAGUGUGAAACUCAAAGGAAUUGACGGGGGGCCCGCACAAGCGGUGGAGUAUGUGGUUUAUUUCAAUGCAACGCGAAAAACCUUACCUGGACUUGACAUGUCCGGAAUCCUGUGGAAAUACAUUGUGUGCCUUCAGGAGAUCGGAACACAAGUGGUGCAUGGCUGUCGUCAGCUCGUGUCGUGAGAUG